GGCCCAAAGUUUCGUCUUGAACUCUCAGUGUCUGAGGCACCCCAUAUACAUUGCUGGAGUAAUGAUUACAUAAAAAAAAAAAAUGGAAGUUCCAUUACGGAGGCAUUGCAUGUCCUUAUGAAGGGAUGAAUGUGAGAAACAGGCCAGCAAUUGGUUAUAGCAGAAUUGUGUGAGACCGCCAUGGUUAGGAGACAGUGGUUACGGCCCCUUUGUUCAUCACUUGGUUCACAUAUUUGGGUGGGG
RNAcentral lists this unclassified non-coding RNA (243 nucleotides) under Hevea brasiliensis (rubber tree). The record is from RNAcentral. Lineage: Eukaryota; Viridiplantae; Streptophyta; Magnoliopsida; Malpighiales; Euphorbiaceae.